This 1080-nucleotide ribosomal RNA is filed under the name Staphylococcus epidermidis. RNAcentral describes it as "partial 23S ribosomal RNA". It matches the Rfam family "Bacterial large subunit ribosomal RNA", at positions 1 to 1076 of the family's 2925-position model. Lineage: Bacteria; Bacillati; Bacillota; Bacilli; Caryophanales; Staphylococcaceae. The record is from RNAcentral.
AGAUUAAGUUAUUAAGGGCGCACGGUGGAUGCCUUGGCACUAGAAGCCGAUGAAGGACGUUACUAACGACGAUAUGCUUUGGGUAGCUGUAAGUAAGCGUUGAUCCAGAGAUUUCCGAAUGGGGGAACCCAGCAUGAGUUAUGUCAUGUUAUCGACAUGUGAAUUCAUAGCAUGUCAGAAGGCAGACCCGGAGAACUGAAACAUCUUAGUACCCGGAGGAAGAGAAAGAAAAAUCGAUUCCCUGAGUAGCGGCGAGCGAAACGGGAAGAGCCCAAACCAACAAGCUUGCUUGUUGGGGUUGUAGGACACUCUAUACGGAGUUACAAAAGAACAUGUUAGACGAAUCAUCUGGAAAGAUGAAUCAAAGAAGGUAAUAAUCCUGUAGUCGAAAACAUAUUCUCUCUUGAGUGGAUCCUGAGUACGACGGAGCACGUGAAAUUCCGUCGGAAUCUGGGAGGACCAUCUCCUAAGGCUAAAUACUCUCUAGUGACCGAUAGUGAACCAGUACCGUGAGGGAAAGGUGAAAAGUACCCCGGAAGGGGAGUGAAAGAGAACUUGAAACCGUGUGCUUACAAGUAGUCAGAGCCCGUUAAUGGGUGAUGGCGUGCCUUUUGUAGAAUGAACCGGCGAGUUACGAUCUGAUGCAAGGUUAAGCAGCAAAUGUGGAGCCGCAGCGAAAGCGAGUCUGAAUAGGGCGUUGAGUAUUUGGUCGUAGACCCGAAACCAGGUGAUCUACCCUUGGUCAGGUUGAAGUUCAGGUAACACUGAAUGGAGGACCGAACCGACUUACGUUGAAAAGUGAGCGGAUGAACUGAGGGUAGCGGAGAAAUUCCAAUCGAACUUGGAGAUAGCUGGUUCUCUCCGAAAUAGCUUUAGGGCUAGCCUCAAGUGAUGAUUAUUGGAGGUAGAGCACUGUUUGGACGAGGGGCCCCUCUCGGGUUACCGAAUUCAGACAAACUCCGAAUGCCAAUUAAUUUAACUUGGGAGUCAGAACAUGGGUGAUAAGGUCCGUGUUCGAAAGGGAAACAGCCCAGACCACCAGCUAAGGUCCCAAAAUAUAUGUUAAGUGGAAAAGGAAGU